UGGGGGAUAUUGCACAAUGGGCGAAAGCCUGAUGCAGCGAUGCCGCGUGGAGGAAGAAGGUCUUCGGAUUGUAAACUCCUGUCUUUAGGGACGAUAAUAACGGUACCUAAGGAGGAAGCUCCGGCUAACUACGUGCCAGCAGCCGCGGUAAUACGUAGGGAGCGAGCGUUGUCCGGAAUUACUGGGUGUAAAGGGAGCGUAGGCGGGGCGGCAAGUCAGGUGUGAAAUUUAUGGGCUUAACCCAUAACCUGCAUUUGAGACUGUCGCUCUUGAGUGAAGAAGAGGUUGGCGGAAUUCCUAGUGUAGCGGUGAAAUGCGUAGGUAUUAGGAGGAACACCAGUGGCGAAGGCGGCCAACUGGGCUUUUACUGACGCUGAGGCUCGAAAGCGUGGGGAGCAAACAG
RNAcentral lists this ribosomal RNA (403 nucleotides) under uncultured bacterium. Its description in RNAcentral is "bacterial SSU rRNA". It matches the Rfam family "Bacterial small subunit ribosomal RNA", at positions 355 to 775 of the family's 1533-position model. The record is from RNAcentral.